UCCAUACGGGAGGGGGGUUUUACCUCCUGCACAGGAAAACAUGGAGACUGAUCCCACCAGCAGCAAGUGACACAAAAAGAGCCUGGAGUCGCUCUCUUCGCUUAUUCCAGUGUGUCAGUGACGCCAAACACGAGCUGACACCAGGGAGUUGUUGGAGGCAGCACAAUCCUCCUUUGACGUACCAGCAGCUGCACCAUGCUUUGAUGUCUCCACAAAACUCUGUGUUUAUCAGAACCUUCUCUAAUGGUGAAAUUUUACUGCCUCCCUGGUACCAUCAGCCCCUUGAUUCCUUCCCUGCAUCCCGUGAGACGAUUUUUAAGUUCGUCAGUGCUUUCAGAGCUGCUGCUUAGAAGUGGAAGCCACUGUGAUUCAUGCAAAGCAGUCAAGGAGAAUUGUCAAGUACUACAUUUAUGCUGAUUGGAAGUGGCAGAGCAGUACCACCAAGGCCUUUGUGCCCCAGGAAAUCACUGAGGUCCUUUAUGGCUGCUGAGCAUAUUCAUCUAGAAGCACCUUUUUGCAAUGUUCUCCCUCCCCUGCUAGUUGUUUAUUCAUGCAUCGACAAUGACGAGCACUUGAAGAAAAAGAAAAGCCAGACCUGAGCAAAGUGCACCAGGAGAUAUGAUAUGAACGUCAUUCAGCUCCCGUAAUUAAAUACAGAGAUCCACAGGAUCAAAGGGCACCUGGGUAAGUGAAAAGAAAAGCCUGUAUGCAAUGGAUCCAUCUCUGGAGCAGCUUCUUAUGGAUUAGAAUGAUGUGAAGCCUUAUCAGUCAAAGCAAAGGUGAAUACGGCUGGGAUUUAACUGUUUUGGGCAGAGUGCACUUCUGGUUUGAAUUCAACAUAAAAGCUGAACCAGACUGUCACCAGUGAAAUGGGGAGGUAGCUGUCCUGGACCUGAAAGGAAAUGACCGUCAGUGUCAGUGAGAGUCUUUUUGUUAGCAGCAAGUGACACUGGGGUGGAGUUGUGUCCCCAGGAUGUGUGUCUGAGCCAGGCAGGAGAACCUCUGGAUGCUCCUGGCACAGUGCAGCAGGGAGGCAAGCCCGGGAGGGGAAUGCUGGAGGGGCAGGGGCAGGCACAGCCGGUGGUGAAUCGGGAACUCUGGGCAGCAGUGGAGCCAAUUCAAGCGGGAGUGACACGUGCAGGGGAUGACAGCACAUUCCUUGAAGUGCUGGGGCAGAGACACUGAGAAAACCCAAACCUGGAACAGGUGGGAGUGACUCACGUGGAAUUUGUGGAACACAUGGAACAGCUGAAGCUGUUUGGACUUUUGCAGAGUUGGUCCAAUUUAGCAUGAGCCAUUUUCCAGGACACCAGUGAGAGCAUCUCUGCUUGCCCAAGGAGUGUUUUUCAUUGCAGGAAGGGGUUGUUCCCUCUCUUGAGAUUCCCACAAUGCCAGCCCGAGUUCGAGGCACUCCAGCAUCCGUGAGGGUAAGGCAGGGCUCUUGAGCAUCAUGGAGAACAGGAUCUGAGGCCGAUGAGCAGAGUUUAGAGGAACAACACACACUUGACUUUGUUAUUAUAAAUUAUCCCACAUCCUUCCUACCAUACCGCUUGGAGCCAUCCUGAUACAUCUGCAGGGUAAAUACAUGUCCAUAAGAAUCGAGUGCUUCUGCCCUGCUCUGUUAAGCCCUCCACUGGUUCAGAAGUCACUGGGGGUAAGUAAUAGCUCCUGGAGCCAGGCGAGAUGAUUGUAUCCUCAUUUCCAUUUCAAUGUCUGCACUGCUCUUCCAGUUCACAGCUCUU
Corvus hawaiiensis (hawaiian crow) is the source of this 1742-nucleotide long non-coding RNA. RefSeq lists it as uncharacterized. The transcript has 3 exons. The record is from RefSeq and is a predicted model, not a curated record. Lineage: Eukaryota; Metazoa; Chordata; Aves; Passeriformes; Corvidae.